CGCCGCCCGCCGUUCCCCUGCACCCAGCCCCCCAGCCCCCGUGUCCUCCACAAGAUCUGCGUCGCCGCAUUCACUCGCCCAGACCGUCGCCUCUCCCCCGCUCGCCCCACCCUCCACCGUUCCCCGCCGCCCCGCUGUUCCCCGUCGCCCGCCGUUCCCCUGCACCCAGCCCCGUGUCCUCCACAAGAUCUGUGCCGUCGCAUUCACUACUUCAUCACUGGGGCCACCGAGCACUCCACCACCGGCCUAACCAUAGGCGAGGGUGCUCUUUGGCCGGCGACACAAGAGGCGCGCGGGAGCUCUUCGACACACGACGCAACGAGGCGCGAGGGAUUUGAUGGAUUCGUGCGUCAUGUGUUCUCAUCUACUGCUCGUCUCAUGUUACCAUCCCCGUUGCCUUCCCUGCCUCUGCCGCCUGCGCUUCUACAUCUUGCAGCAUCCCGAUCUACAUCACGACGUGGCACCGCCAUGGGAGCAAGGGGGUCAGGGCAGCGCCGCUACCGAGGGGCGUGAGGGAAUCAAGGUUGCGCUACGCGGACUCACCCGAGCACUCAGCCCCCCUGCUUUUGUGGAUUCUCCGCUCCGGAUGACCUGGAGGGUGGCUGAUGGCGUGAUGCUUAGAUGGAUUGAUGCAUUUUUCAAUUUAGAUUUUUGCAGAGACUGGUUCGGCUUGUAAUAGCAGACGUAUGUUGAAACAUGGGAUCUAUCAAGCAAGAAAAGGUGGAGAUGAGGAGGUUGUGGAUGAAGAUGCUCCUGUAGAGUGAAGAGUAUGAAGCAGAAGAUGCGGCCCAGAUUUAAUGAGGCAAUGGGGGAAGAGGUUGUGGCUGGGGCCAGUACCAUGGCUAGAGUCCGGACAUGGCCAUCCAAUCAGCACUCCCCCCCUCGAAUCACAUUGGUAAGCAUCUAGUGGUGUCAAAGCCGCCUCCUGGUCUGCUUAUGCCGGAUGACACAAAAGGAUUUUCCAUGGGGCGAGGGAAACUCCAGGUCAGCCCCGCAAUGUUGUCUGAUAUUUAGUGGUACCCUGUUCUUGGUUGGAGUUGUUAAAAUAGCGCUUAUAUGACCCAUUUUGACGCGAUCCCAUGAAGAGGAAGGAUAGUAAUACCCUGAUACAUAUGUCAUGUAUACUGCAUUACGUUCGUCUUUUAGUAAUUCAUAUAUGUUAUGGUUCAUGUCAUCUUUAGUGCUUAUAACAACUUAAUAAGCGAAUGUGCAGGUUAUCCAGGGUAAAUGACUAGAUUACGUUUCAGGAUUACAACUCAGAAAUGAGCUUGGAUGCCUUCAUCUUACAACCAGAAACUCUUGUUUUAUGAUCAUGCACACAUUGAAUGCAAAGUAAAGUUUUUUUACCAUCCACGUUAAGAUUCUUAAUAUGGAACCAUGACCAUUUUUUGCAAGAUAUGACUUAGCAUUAAUGGUACAAUCUUCUUUGCUCAAGUAAUUCAAGGUAUGUUUCAUUGCUCAUUUAGGAUGGCCACUGAACCUCUUUAUGAACCAAGGAAGGCACACUCUCUAUGCACAAAGAACUUAGUGCUACUAUUUGUUUGUGUUAUUUGAAUUGAAAACGUUGACGCUCCGUGACAUGCCACAAUUCGAUCUUUUGUGCUUGUAUUGGUUCAUAUGUACAUGUCGUGUGCACGACUAACAAUUUGAAUGAACAAUUAUUUAUAUUAUUUCAUGACAUGCAACAAUUUGGAUGACCAUCAUGUUUGACCAAUUUUAUGUUAAUCUAGACGUGCGUUGCACGUGCAUACUUACUAGUAAUCUCUCACGACUGCUUCUUUUCUAUAGGCCCCCUCUUAAUAUCUCGCAUCUCAUGCUGUCAAAAAACAAAUAUCUCACAUCCCAUAUCUCACGACUCUCCUUCCCCUAUUUUCUAGGUCAGCAAAGCAAAAAAAGAAUCGCGAUCUCAGAAGCCUAGCCAUCCUCGGCGGCGACCGUCUUCUCUACCGAUAUGAUGGCAGUUCUUCAUCGUCUAUAGCUCCCAGGCGGCGUUCUUAGAAGCCUAGACCAUGGCAUGACGCCUUCUACCAGCACUCCUCCAUUGCUACAUGCCUAGACACAAUCAUCCUCAGGACAGGAACGGAGCACCAAUUGCAAUGACCCUCAGGUUUAAAAUAUGUAUGAUUGCUUUGCUGCGAGGACUGUUCGGGUUGUGUCUUGGCCUUGAAUUUGAUGAACGAUAAUCAGUUCUUUGGUGAGACGCCCAGUUGUAGGUGGUUGAAGGAUAUAUCAUAAAGCAUCGACUGGAUGUUCAUGGUGUCCAAUAUUUUCAGAUCAUGUGAUACAUAGCCAAGAACAGAAUAGUUAGCAGAAUACCAGUCCAAAUUGAGAAGAUUUUUCGUUGGGCAUCAUACUGCCAAACAUUCAUAAAGUUAUGCCAUGAGAUGUGAGUUAGCAUCAACCUCCCCGUUGCUUCUAUAAAACUAAAAACUUCUCUGCUGCUUCUCAUCUCAUGUGAAAGGCAUAUGCCAGUACACAACAAUGUCUCCCAGUGAAUGUACGGAUAGCAUACAUGUGAAUCUUCUUACAAUUUAAUCUUGACGUUUUCGAAUGAUUGUCUAUUCUGCUUCUGAUCGUGAUGAUGUACAAAACAGUGUGCAAAGUGCGCGCACUAGGGACAGAAUAUCUUAAUGUAACAAAUAAACAGGAAUACUGCUACUUCAUCCAGCAACAGGGGUAGCAUACUCAAUGCUGACUGUACUAGCUCCUUUUGUAUGCUUUUGACGUUACGUUACUAAUUAAUUCUACUCUCAUCCUCUGUUAUAUAGAGGUAAUGAAUUGGCAUAAGAGUUAUAAUAUUGUUAGGCGCAAGAUUAAGGUGUGAAUAUGAUUUUUGUAGGCCAGCAUGUAAAUAUGUUCUAUAUAGUUAUAUCGGAAUCGUUUGGUUAUUCAUCGGGUUCUACAGUUUAUCGGGUUUUUAUUCAUAGUUAUGCCUGAAUCAUUUGUUUUUAUUCAACGUGUUUUAUAGUUAAUCAGGUUUCCAUAGUUUUAUUUUGUCUGAAUCAGCAUGAUCUAAUAAGGAAACCCAUAAUAGUCUGCCAUGAGAAAUGCUAGAUAUCACAAAAACUCAUUUUAGUACAGUUAAUAUCUGCUUCUCCUU
Molecule: long non-coding RNA, 3100 nt
Organism: Hordeum vulgare subsp. vulgare (domesticated barley)
Lineage: Eukaryota; Viridiplantae; Streptophyta; Magnoliopsida; Poales; Poaceae
Exons: 5
Source: RefSeq, a predicted model, not a curated record